RNAcentral lists this long non-coding RNA (5881 nucleotides) under Setaria italica (foxtail millet). RNAcentral's name for it is "long non-coding RNA (SITA_LNC001873)". Lineage: Eukaryota; Viridiplantae; Streptophyta; Magnoliopsida; Poales; Poaceae. The record is from RNAcentral.
GGGAGGAGGAUGGUCAUGAGGUCCCGGUCGCAGUGCGGCGGCAGGCCCAGCGUCCUGCUCGGGUCCGGGCACGGCGGGUAGUAGUUGAUGUCGACGACGACGCGGCCGCCGCUGAUGUCGCCGACGAAGAAGUCGGGGCGGAGGCCCAGGCCCUCGCACAGCAGCUGCAGGAUCUCCAUGGCCAGGCCUCUUGCCAGCCCAGUGUAGUUCCCAACAACCUCCCUGAGCCUCUGCGGCUUGUGGGGCCAGCCCGAGGUGUCGCCGGAGGGCAGGGGGUACAGGAGCUCGAGGACGUCAGCCAGUACUUCUCGCCGAGGGUCUCGAAGCUGGAGCCCGAGAAGAGCCUGUUGCGAAUGCUCUCGUCUUCAGAGUAAAACUCAGCCUUGUCCUCCGCGGGCAUCUGGAAGAACUCGUGGCACACCGCCUCCAUGUCCCGCAUCGCCUGCUCAGAGAUGCUAUGGUUCACCACCUGCAUGCAAAUGCAAUAUAAUUCAGCACGCACGUUCUGGUCAAUUCUGAUAUAUACUGCAGAUAUUUGGGAUGGGAUUGGGAUUAAUUGGUUAUAUUGUUGAGAUCGAUCUCGAUCGAUCGAUCGAGCAACUCGCCUGGAUGAGGCAGUACUCCUUGCCGGAGCCCGGAGUCGAGGAUGGCGCGGCGGACCUCGUCGCGGUCGCAGGACAUGUCGACGACGGGUAGGGAGACAGCGGCGGUGGCUGGGCGGAGUUGAUCGGCCGGCAAGAGGAAGCAGUCCGGGAUCGAUGGCGCGUGCACCGGGGUCAGGUUCAGCGUGCUCGCCAUGGAUGACAGAUCGGAGGAGCUUGCUUGCUAGAGGUGCUCGAUCGAAUUGCUCGCUCGUGUUCUGAUCCGAUCAUUUCGCCGCUCCGGCGAGCCGUGUUUUGUAGGCGUGGCCGCGGAGUGGGACGACGAUGCUCCGGGCAGCAAGAAGCAUGCGAGCGCGCGCGCGCGCGAGAGAGAGAGAGAGAGAGAGAGAGUUGCCGCAUAAAUCCUCGUCGUGUAUGGGAGCCGGCAGCAGGUCGGCUGUCCUUGUCGGAUUUUGCUACGUACCAGUUGAUACACGCAGUUUGAAAUGGAAAGCUAGUUAUAUUCUACGACCUUGUUCAAUUUAUUAGCUACCUUACCAACCUUGUUUGAUAUUUCAGAGCAGGUAAAUAUUUUGACAAUGGAACAGAAAAUAUGCAUAAGGAUAAUCCAUACAUGUGCUUCUUCAUUGUUGUAAUGUUGUUGCAUGCAUGCAUCCAAUUUAAAACUAGAAAUUGUUUUGCGUGCAUGUCUUGUGCGUUAAUCAGUAUAUCAGCAAGCCGUAAAUAAUUUAUAAAUUUGUUUAUUACUCCCUCUGUAUUUUUACAUGACAUAUUUGAUUUGUCCUUAGUCAAACUUAUCAAUUUUGACCAAAUUUACGGAAAAAUAUAACAUCGAUACUAUCAAAUAUAUGUAAUUUCAAAAUAUAUUUCAUAGUGAAUUCAAUGAAACAAAUUUGAUAUUGUAGAUUUAUUAUAUUCUCCAUACCGAUCCCGGGACAAUAUCAUCCGCUCUUAGUGCGACAGCGGCUCAUCAUGGCUUGUGACACCCGACCCAAAUUGGAUAUGGCCCAGUAGUGGCCCAUGAGCACAGAUGCACACGUUUAGUACCACCUUGCUAGUUGAGCAAGGGUAUCAGGUUAACCCUUUUACACGAAGCGAGGACGAAAGUGUAACUAGGGUGCUAUGUCUAUGCGUGCCCACCACUCGGAAGGGCUGGACAGUGCGGCUUUGGCCUGCCCUCGCAGUUGCGUGUACAAGUCAGUGUGUGGCCAUAUGGUGCAUAGCGCGUGUGGGCCCGGAGGGGACACACAACAUGGCAUAUGGCACCGGCACUUUAUGUACGGUCGUGCGCUAAGAGGGACCUUUCCUGCAUAUUUGACCAUGUGUAGGUGAGUUGAACCGACGAGGUCGUCUUGUCCUUUGAGGAGGGUGUAUGUGACACCGUGUUGAUGGUUGUUAGCAUGCCAAUUGUGAACUGCAAGCGCACGGAUAUGUUAUAGUUCUAUCCUCAGAGUACUCCCCCAAGGUUUAACAAUCCGUGGAACUCAUAGCAAUAGAUCUAUUUUAACUAGCAUUGUUAGUAGAACUUAGUUGUUUAUGAGAGAUUGAGAUCUAAUCUACUAGGUAUGUACAGACAGAUAACAGAUAGAGCAGAGGUAACCAAUCUAGAGUAACCUAGACUAUGCAUGUUGUAAUUCCGAGCAUAGAUAGCAAAGCAACAUAGAUCGAUCUUAGUAAAAAGCAUAUUUAAAUCUACACCUUCGGUCUAGCUCCCGAAAACCCUACCUUAUACAAGAAAGACUCCGUCACCAUCAUCUCUAUCAGCGUAGGUAGAUUAAGGGCACGAUCAAAAGAACAUGUCAUACUCAUCGGUAGGUCAGGCAUGCAAAUUUGGUCACCAUGACCACAAGAACAUCCUAAGAAAUUUAUCAUCGAUUCAUACAUUAAAAAAUAGCAAACCCGAUAGAGCAUAAAAUCAUAGAAGAAGAUACUUAGAUAGUUGAGAAAAUGAAUAGAUCUAUUACUUCACCAUGAAUGAUUGUACAUAACAAGAACACCACCGGGAUCCUACCUUGAUCUUGAUGACUCCUAGCUCCAAAACUCCAGCGUGAUCUUCCUCGCAGGGUGAUCGCGCUGGCAGAGGCUCGCCUACACUAACCCCUGACAACUGCACGGCCAUCGACUCUCCGAAGUGGUGUCCCUUAAGCUCCUUCUGCUUCUCUACUGCUUCACGCCGUGUACCUCAACUUCCCCUUGGUGCUCGGUAGUUUUGGGGGUAUUUAUAGUCUAGAGGGCACGUGGUAAAAAUUGGAAGGCGAUGGGGCGAAGGAAACCCCAAGGUCGAUUGGCCACGGAGGGUCCAGGCCGAUCGUCCUGGACCUUCCUUUUGCCCUCUCACGCUCUGCUUUGUCCCCAAGUCUACCUGGAUACUCUGGAGUCUUCUUUUCACUUGCAUGUGGGCCUGGCACAUCAGUAGCUUCGGGGAGAGAUUGAUCUUCAUUGACUUUCCAUAUCUUCACUUGAUCCUCUUUGAUUCAUCCUUGAUCCCAAAGUAGUCCUUGCCAUAUCUUCAAAUUCUUAACCCCUAAGUCACCUCGGAGGAUUGCUUCCCAAAGUUGAGCAUCAGGGGAGGCCAGGGAGCCCUGGCCCGAUCGGCCCAGGCCCUUUCUGGGCCCUUUGGUUCUCGUUUUCAUCUGGCUCGUUGCUCACUUCAGGCUUUAUCCAAAAAUGUUACUUUAGGUCCAAUUUCUUGUAAAAAUAGAAUAUCAUCCAAAAUGCAAAGCACGAGUGAAAAUAACCGGUUUAUUAGGUAUGAUCAAUAGUUUAAGGAUUAAAUUCAUGUCAUUAUUGAAAGGAGAUAGAAAUAAAUGGGGGAGCAAGGAGAGAGGGAGAGGCACUGACAUAUGGGUCCGGGACAUGUAGGAUUGAUGACGUGUGCAUUAUGUGUCACCACGUCGGCCAAAACCAAAGUGCAUUUGGGUCAAGGUGGUCCCCUGUCUGAUUUCAUAAGUACGAGGAGUUAGAAUAUACGGUUUCUCGAGUAGAGGGAAAAAACAUGAACUCAACCCAUAAUCAAGGAAGGUGAAUAGGACCUUUUUCCUUUUUCUUUUGUCGACCAGGCCCACCAGCUCCUUGCCCUGCGGCCUGUUUGCCAUCCCUAGCCCUAAUGGUCACCCAACCCAUGUGGCUGAUUCCUCUUUCCUGUCCUCCCUUCCUCGACAUGAUGACAUGACACACCCAGGUGCCGUGCAACACCUGUUGCUGCAGCAAUGGCGAUGAGAGCACGUCCAGAGAGACGAGAACCACCAUUCAUCCCUGCGCCCUACAUCCUCGCUGUCGUCCAGGAACACGGCUUGUCCACCCAACUUGACACCCAUGCGCCAGGCCACCAUAAUCACCCAAAAAUCCCAUGGUAACAUGCCUAUAGACAAAUGGCAAAUAAAGAGUUCAAUGAACUCACCCUUCAUGAGAAAAAAAGAUAAAAAUAUAUAAGUGGAUAUAAGUAUUUUAUACGUGUGAUUGGAUAUCUUUAGUCGGUCGUGAUCCUUCAUAUUUAUUGGGAGGUCUUGACUUAUUUAGAGUCCGUAUAUAUUAUGAAAUACGUUUUAAAUCGACUAGCUUUUUUUCUUAGAGUAUUAUGUCCAAGAUCUUGUUUUUUUCUUGAUGAGCCGCUUUCCCUCAUUCUACUCGUCCAGCCCUCUCCACGAACUUGUACAAUCAAUGCCACCACUUCUUUGAAAGCAUGAUUCUGGUGUCCCUCUCUUCGCACUACUUGGAGCUCAACCAUUUAUCAAUUUGUAGAACCCCUCUUAGGCUCAGCAGGCCAUCUAGAAUGCCUGCGCAAGCAAUAAGGCAAGAGGAAAUAAUCACAUGGGGGUGGGAAAAGGAUUAGGGAAAGAAGAUAAAAAGUGUUUGAUACGUGUGAUUGAAUACCUUUUAGUCGGUCAUGAUCCUUCAUAUUUAUUGGGUGGGAGGUCUUGCCUUAUCUAGAGUCCGUAUAUAUGCGCUUUAAAUUGAACAAAAUCUGCCAAGAGAAAACUGGGUGCCCGAGUUUUGUAAAACCGGUCGGUACGGUUUUUUGGAAUAAUCUCCCAUUAUCAUAACUUUGUCAUCCAGACUCCAAACUAGAUGAAGCCGACUUCAGAGUAUCACACACACACAUAUAUAAAGUGAAUUAAACUUGGAGCUAUGGAUGAAUGUUUAGAAGCCUAGCUGCUGCGCACUUGUACCCAAGUCGUCCUUUUAAAGUUGGGUUAGUUGGUCAUGUUAGUUAAGCUUUGGAGCCACUGUACAGUCACUGAGUUGGCCAAAGUAGUCUGAACUAGAACCAUAUGUGUGUGUGUGUGUGUGUGUGUGUGUGUGUGUGUGUGUGUGUGUGUGUGUGUGUGUGUGUUGUUUCGCCGUAAAAAAGGAAUGUAAGUACAUAUGUGACAAUAAACUCAUUUUGUUAAUUCGUGUUUAUUUGUUCAAACACCUUUACUGUUAUACCUCAAACAGUACUACAGUAGCAUGACAACAUAUUACCACAUCUCAUCAGCCGCAGCUAGAUGUAACUGAGACGACCCAUCCGCCAAUGCAACGCCACCUCAGAGGCAUGGGAACUUGGCAUGACAAGAGAAAGACUUGCGGUUUUGCUUCAUCAUAUACCCUUCUGGUUGUUCUUGAGGUUAGUGAUCUGGUUGAGCGAGGACCCCAGAUUGACAACGUUGUGCAUGCGCUUGAAGUCGCGGACCCUCAUGGUGCGGUAGCGCGGUGGGUUGUCCUCGCCGACGAACUCCUCCGCAGGGCCGACGACGCAGUCGUCCGCCGGCACGAUGAACGUCGCCACCGACAUCCGCGGCUCCGCCGAGUUGGUGGCCGCGCGGUGCUCCACGCUCUUCAGCAUCCCGUUGGUCACAACCUGCGCGUAUACGUACGUGCAAAGAAAGAACAACCGAUCAGCAAGGCAGCAAUAAGCUGAAUGAUGAACAAUUUGCAUUGAAGCAAAGGUGGUCUUACUAAAAAAUUAAAGCUGAAUGAUCAGUUACCUCGAGCUGCAGGCCGAAGUUGACGACGAAGGAGUUGGGGACUGGCUGGACCUUGAUCCAGUCGCCCUCGUAGGCGACCUCGAGGCCGGGGACAGCGCCGGGGAGGAGAACGGUGAUGAGGUCCCGGUCGCAGUGCGGCGGCAGGCCCAGCGUCCUGCUCGGGUCCGGGCACGGCGGGUAGCUGUUGAUGUCGAGGGCCACGCGGCCGCCGCUGAUGUCCCCGACGAAGUAGUCGGGGCGGAGGCCCAGGCCCUCGCACAGCAGCUGCAGGAUCUCCAUGGCCAGGCCUCUUGCCAGCCCGGUGUAGUUCCC